Molecule: long non-coding RNA, 1583 nt
Organism: Triticum dicoccoides
Lineage: Eukaryota; Viridiplantae; Streptophyta; Magnoliopsida; Poales; Poaceae
Exons: 2
Source: RefSeq, a predicted model, not a curated record
CUUCCCGUAAAAGAAAAAAUUCCCUCGGCACCCACCUUAUCCACUUCCCCCGCGUCCUCCCACGAUCCUCCCCGGCCAACCUCUCGCCGCCGCCUCCCUGGCUCCGGCGCGCCUCCCGCCGCUAGCCCCACGGCCCCGGCGUGCUUCUCCCGCUGCUUCCCUCGGCCCCGGUGCUCCCCCGCCGCCCGCCCGCCCUGGCCGCGACGCGCCUCCGCCGCUGCUCCGCCCACCCUGGCCCCGGCGCGCCUCCAUCCGUCGCCCCCCGAUGCGCCUCCCGCCGCCGCCCCCCGACGCGCCUCCCGCCGCCGCCCUUCCGGCCCCGACGCGCCUCCUGCUGCCUCCCUCCACCUGCUUCGACAACGGCGCCGGCCACCUCCACCUUCUUCCACCACUGCGCCGGCCACCCCCUCCUUCUUCCACCACGGUGCCGGCCUGCUCCUCCUUCCACCGCGCCUCCACCUCGCCGGCGACUACGAGCGCACGUGCGGAUUGGGCACUGCCUGCAGCUAGAGCAGACGUUGACCUACAGCUGGAGGAGGCCCCGACCUGCAACUGGUCGUGCGCGUCACUGCGACGCUCAGGCCGUCCAACUUCGCCAACCCAGGGAGUUCAACCCCCGCGCCCAAUCUUCCUUGGCCACAAAUUACAAUCGUCUUGCCAGCGUCGUUCAAGGUUCUCGGCCGCAGCUCCUCACUAGCGCAGAGCUUUGAGUCCAGACCCCUGCGCCAAAUAAAUGUCAUGCAGGCUCCUCCAAAAUAUUCAGGCGGCAAGUGUUCUUCAUGUUCUGGACUUGUGCCCCAGCUUCUUCUGAACUUCUGUUGAUUCAUACCUAAAUGAAUUUGCACUAUGGUUUUUCAUCAGCUUUUUGGUGAAAUAAUGCUUCCUGGAGGACUUCUCCAAAGACUUCCAGGUUCAGCAAUAGACAAGGAAGCUGCCCUUGACCAUUUUCUCAUGUACGGGUUGUAUGCAGCGUACAGAUAGACCUCCCCUGCCCGGCGGCUAUGGCGUGUGGCUGCCUAGCACAUCGUCGCCCCAAGUUUCAGAAAUCCUUCAGGGAAAAAUGCAAAAGAAAAAUGGAGCAGGAGUCGCAAGCCUCAAGCCUUCUCUCCACUUGGUGGCUUCUUGUUCUCAAAGCACAAGCUGCUGUUGCUACUAUUAGUAAACUACUUUUGCUCACUAUAAUGGGCUGAGGGGCGUUGCCCAACUGCAUGGAUGCUCGCCUGCUCACCGUGCGUCGCGACAGUCAACCCCGAAGCUGUCUGCAGGAGGAGCUUGCACCAGUCCUGCCUCUCCUUCGUCCAUUGCUCCAAGAGGCCAGGGCAGAAAAAUCGGUCAUCUUCUGAUGAGCCCUGCCCCAACAGGAACCUCUCUCCCUACCUCUCUUCGCUACUGAUGGGCACCAUAGUGCGAAGUUGAUGUAGAGAACAAGUUCUGGUUAUGUGCUCUGUACAUGCUUGUUGAUAUGUCAAUGAGAACCAACUUUUUUCUUCUUCAUGUUGUUGUGAUGAUGUUUGAUAGUUAAUAUUUUUGCAAGUACAAAACUCCAGGUUAUGAAAUUUUGAUGGACGUGAGACUUCUUUUGA